AUGAACGCUGGCGGCGCGCCUAACACAUGCAAGUCGAACGGCACCUAUCUUCGGAUAGAGGCGAGUGGCGAACGGCUGAGUAACACGUGGAGAACCUGCCCCCUCCCCCGGGAUAGCCGCCCGAAAGGACGGGUAAUACCGGAUACCCCCGGGAGCCGCAUGGCGCCCGGGCUAAAGCCCCGACGGGAGGGGAUGGCUCCGCGGCCCAUCAGGUAGACGGCGGGGUGACGGCCCACCGUGCCGACAACGGGUAGCCGGGUUGAGAGACCGACCGGCCAGAUUGGGACUGAGACACGGCCCAGACUCCUACGGGAGGCAGCAGUGGGGAAUCUUGCGCAAUGGGGGCAACCCUGACGCAGCGACGCCGCGUGCGGGACGGAGGCCUUCGGGUCGUAAACCGCUUUCAGCAGGGAAGAGACGAGACUGUACCUGCAGAAGAAGCCCCGGCUAACUACGUGCCAGCAGCCGCGGUAAUACGUAGGGGGCGAGCGUUAUCCGGAUUCAUUGGGCGUAAAGCGCGCGUAGGCGGCCCGGCAGGCCGGGGGGUCGAAGCGG
RNAcentral lists this ribosomal RNA (555 nucleotides) under uncultured bacterium. RNAcentral's name for it is "bacterial SSU rRNA". It matches the Rfam family "Bacterial small subunit ribosomal RNA", at positions 29 to 604 of the family's 1533-position model. The record is from RNAcentral.